AUCUGCCUUUUGGUGGGGGAUAACCAGGAGAAAUUCUGGCUAAUACCGCUUAACCUAAACAACUUUGGAAGGAGUUUAGAAAAGAAUGCCUCUGCAUAUGCAUUCGCCGAUUAAUGAGCCUGCGCGACAUUAGCUUGAUGGUGGGGUAACGGCCUACCAUGGCUACGAUGUCUAGCGGAUUUGAGAGAAUGAUCCGCCACACUGGAACUGAGACACGGUCCAG
This 223-nucleotide ribosomal RNA is filed under the name uncultured bacterium. RNAcentral describes it as "partial 16S ribosomal RNA". It matches the Rfam family "Bacterial small subunit ribosomal RNA", at positions 124 to 334 of the family's 1533-position model. The record is from RNAcentral.